GUGAGGAUUGAUAUUUACGGGUUCCAUG
RNAcentral lists this small RNA (28 nucleotides) under Bombyx mori (domestic silkworm). Its description in RNAcentral is "ovarian small RNA-17847". The record is from RNAcentral. Lineage: Eukaryota; Metazoa; Arthropoda; Insecta; Lepidoptera; Bombycidae.